This 85-nucleotide transfer RNA is filed under the name Felis catus (domestic cat). It matches the Rfam family "tRNA". Rfam says of the family: Transfer RNA (tRNA) molecules are approximately 80 nucleotides in length. Their secondary structure includes four short double-helical elements and three loops (D, anti-codon, and T loops). Further hydrogen bonds mediate the characteristic L-shaped molecular structure. tRNAs have two regions of fundamental functional importance: the anti-codon, which is responsible for specific mRNA codon recognition, and the 3' end, to which the tRNAs corresponding amino acid is attached (by aminoacyl-tRNA synthetases). tRNAs cope with the degeneracy of the genetic code in two manners: having more than one tRNA (with a specific anti-codon) for a particular amino acid; and 'wobble' base-pairing, i.e. permitting non-standard base-pairing at the 3rd anti-codon position. Lineage: Eukaryota; Metazoa; Chordata; Mammalia; Carnivora; Felidae. The record is from Rfam by way of RNAcentral.
GCCAGGGUGGUUCAGUUGGUUGAGCGUCUGAUUUCGGCUCAGGUCACGAUCUCACGGUUCGUGGGUUCAAGCCCCAUAUCAGGCU